AAUCAACGCUGGCGGCGUGCCUCAGACAUGCAAGUCGAACGAUUAAAGCUCUCUUCGGAGAGUGUAUAGAGUGGCGCACGGGUGAGUAACACGUAAGUAAUCUACCUUUGAGUGGGGAAUAACCCGGGGAAACCCGAGCUAAUACCGCAUAAUGCAGCGGCACCGCAAGGUGACAGUUGUUAAAGGAGCAAUCCGCUUAAAGAGGAGCUUGCGGCAGAUUAGCUAGNGGUAAGGUAAUGGCUUACCAAGGCUUCGAUCUGUAUCCGGCCUGAGAGGGCGGUCGGACACACUGACACUGAAUAACGGGUCAGACUCCUACGGGAGGCAGCAGUCGGGUAAUUUGGGCAAUGGGCGAAAGCCUGACCCAGCAACGCCGCGUGAAGGAUGAAGUAUUUCGGUAUAGUAAACUUA
RNAcentral lists this ribosomal RNA (411 nucleotides) under uncultured bacterium. RNAcentral's name for it is "bacterial SSU rRNA". It matches the Rfam family "Bacterial small subunit ribosomal RNA", at positions 32 to 433 of the family's 1533-position model. The record is from RNAcentral.